UGGGUAACCUGCCUUAUACAGGGGGAUAACAGUCAGAAAUGACUGCUAAUACCGCAUAAGCGCACAGGGCCGCAUGGCCCGGUGUGAAAAACUCCGGUGGUAUAAGAUGGACCCGCGUUGGAUUAGCUUGUUGGUGGGGUAACGGCCCACCAAGGCGACGAUCCAUAGCCGGCCUGAGAGGGUGAACGGCCACAUUGGGACUGAGACACGGCCCAGACUCCUACGGGAGGCAGCAGUGGGGAAUAUUGCACAAUGGGGGAAACCCUGAUGCAGCGACGCCGCGUGAAGGAAGAAGUAUCUCGGUAUGUAAACUUCUAUCAGCAGGGAAGAUAGUGACGGUACCUGACUAAGAAGCCCCGGCUAACUACGUGCCAGCAGCCGCGGUAAUACGUAGGGGGCAAGCGUUAUCCGGAUUUACUGGGUGUAAAGGGAGCGUAGACGGUGUGGCAAGUCUGAUGUGAAAGGCAUGGGCUCAACCUGUGGACUGCAUUGGAAACUGUCAUACUUGAGUGCCGGAGGGGUAAGCGGAAUUCCUAGUGUAGCGGUGAAAUGCGUAGAUAUUAGGAGGAACACCAGUGGCGAAGCGGCUUACUGGACGGUAACUGACGUUGAG
This 613-nucleotide ribosomal RNA is filed under the name uncultured bacterium. RNAcentral's name for it is "bacterial SSU rRNA". It matches the Rfam family "Bacterial small subunit ribosomal RNA", at positions 118 to 750 of the family's 1533-position model. The record is from RNAcentral.